GUAACCACAACAUUUAAAGACUGCAACUGGACAAGUGCAGCCAUCAGGAGUUUAGGCCUAUCAAGACUUGUCUACUAAAUUUCAAAGGUUGAGCCCCCCAGUUGUAAAGGAGACCUAUUAGAAGAUGAAAGGGCUAGAGGAGAAGCAAAUGGAUUCCAAUCUGGACCUUGAUAAUUCUAUCAUGCAGCUUGUCCACAAUAUCUCAUCAGUAUUCGCACUCCCCUUCCCCCACCAUAAAAAUCUAUAGUAGGUACCCCAACAUCACUGCAGCUAGUUACAGUCAUGCUUUCCAAGCCAGCUGCUCACAGCUAUUGAAUUCAGAUCACCCCAUCGACCCAUCAAUCAAUUCAUGGCCCAUAAGACAUCCGCUCCGCAUGUCCCUACUCGGCGAAGGUCGGUAAACUUAAUAGAAGAUGAAGAGGUCAAAAAUGGUGGCUGCUAUCAAAUUUAAACAAGUAAAUGCUCUUCACUACUCAUCUUUACUCUCUUUUUUUGCAUAAAUAAUAUGCAGCCUGUUUACUUUGGGUAUGCGU
Molecule: long non-coding RNA, 533 nt
Organism: Carica papaya (papaya)
Lineage: Eukaryota; Viridiplantae; Streptophyta; Magnoliopsida; Brassicales; Caricaceae
Source: RefSeq, a predicted model, not a curated record